UACGUAGGGUGCGAGCGUUGUCCGGAAUUAUUGGGCGUAAAGCGCACGUAGGCGGUUUGUUAUGUCGGAUGUGAAAGCCCUUGGCUUAACUGAGGAAGUGCAUCCGAAACUGGCAAGCUAGAGUACUAAAGAGGGUCGCGGAAUUCCCGGUGUAGAGGUGAAAUUCGUAGAUAUCGGGAGGAACACCGGUGGCGAAGGCGGCGACCUGGGUAGAUACUGACGCUGAGGUGCGAAAGCGUGGGGAGCAAACAGG
Molecule: ribosomal RNA, 253 nt
Filed under: uncultured bacterium
Lineage: Bacteria
Description: partial 16S ribosomal RNA
Rfam family: Bacterial small subunit ribosomal RNA
Source: RNAcentral